GGGGGUAUAGCUUAUAUAAAGUUUCAGAUUCUUACUCUGAAGAAGUUUCAAAAUUUUAACUACUCCCA
Molecule: transfer RNA, 68 nt
Filed under: Tristoma integrum
Lineage: Eukaryota; Metazoa; Platyhelminthes; Monogenea; Capsalidea; Capsalidae
Description: tRNA-Lys
Rfam family: tRNA
About the family: Transfer RNA (tRNA) molecules are approximately 80 nucleotides in length. Their secondary structure includes four short double-helical elements and three loops (D, anti-codon, and T loops).
Source: RNAcentral